AGCAGCCGCGGUAAUUCCAGCUCCAAUAGCGUAUAUUAAAGUUGUUGCAGUUAAAAAGCUCGUAGUUGAAUUUCGGGGUCAAUACGUCGGUCGUGCCUUCGGUACGUACUGGUGUUAUUGAUCUCUCCCUUCUGACGAAUCAUGAUGUCAUUAAUUUGGUGUCGUGGGGAGUCAGGACUGUUACUUUGAAAAAAUUAGAGUGUUUAAAGCAGGCUAGCGCCUGAAUACAUUAGCAUGGAAUAAUGAAAUAGGACGUUCGAUCCUAUUUUGUUGGUUUCUAGGAUUGACGUAAUGAUUAAUAGGGAUAGUUGGGGGCAUUAGUAUUCAAUUGUCAGAGGUGAAAUUCUUGGAUUUAUUGAAGACUAACUACUGCGAAAGCAUUUGCCAAGGAUGUUUUCAUUAAUCAAGAACGAAAGUUAGGGGAUCGAAGACGAUCAGAUACCGUCGUAG
Molecule: ribosomal RNA, 450 nt
Filed under: uncultured Glomeromycotina
Lineage: Eukaryota; Fungi; Glomeromycota
Description: SSU rRNA
Rfam family: Eukaryotic small subunit ribosomal RNA
Source: RNAcentral